Pelobates cultripes (western spadefoot toad) is the source of this 276-nucleotide non-coding RNA. The record is from the annotation of a GenBank genome assembly. NCBI's taxonomy places the organism in Eukaryota, Metazoa, Chordata, Amphibia, Anura, Pelobatidae.
CAAAGGUUCAUUUGUACAAGACAAUGUAAAAACGGGAUCAUGGGAACUUAACAUAUUACAAAAUGCAUAUAUCAUGAUUGUAGUUAAUGGAGAGGAAAUGGUAAAUUGGUCAGGUGACAUGUAUGUGAACGUUGCACAAACUUCAGUGACAACGCGAGGACGAGGUGGUGAGGUACUUUAUACAAUUCAAUACUGGCUUAUACAUUUAGAGCCAGAAUUCCUCUUAAAAAACAAUACUCCAGGUAUACCUUGGAUAUGGGAAAUACGAGCAUCUAG